Molecule: ribosomal RNA, 251 nt
Filed under: uncultured bacterium
Lineage: Bacteria
Description: partial 16S ribosomal RNA
Rfam family: Bacterial small subunit ribosomal RNA
Source: RNAcentral
UACGUAGGUCCCGAGCGUUGUCCGGAUUUAUUGGGCGUAAAGCGAGCGCAGGUGGUUUAUUAAGUCUGGUGUAAAGGCAGUGGCUCAACCAUUGUAUGCAUUGGAAACUGGUAGACUUGAGUGCAGGAGAGGAGAGUGGAAUUCCGUGUGUAGCGGUGAAAUGCGUAGAUAUAUGGAGGAACACCGGUGGCGAAAGCGGCUCUCUGGCCUGUAACUGACACUGAGGCUCGAAAGCGUGGGGAGCAAACAGG